GAGGCGAAGAAAAAUGGCGGCUGUGUGCGACCCGGAGCGGGACACCGGCCAUUCCGCUCGAGCUUUCUCCUGUUAAUCGAGUCCGCUGCUUUUGUCGGACUUUAUGAAACAAGUUUAUGGGACAGUGGACUCGGAGUUUAUUGAAAACUGCGUGCUUUUGUGAGCUUUGUUUUCUGGAUGACUCGUGGCGCGAAAGAAGGUUGUAAAUAAAGAGAAAAACAAUAAUAAAAUAGUGUAAAAUAUCCUAGUGCAAAAAAAUAAUAAUAAAUGAGGGUAAGAAGAGGCAGGCCGGCUGGCCGGGGGGUAGUGCCGGAGGAGGCAGCUCCAUCUCCAGUGGCGGUGCGAGGCGGCCGGGGCAGAGGCAGGGGCAGAGGUAGGGGAUUGUGGACGCUGAACUGUGAUGUGGAUGAAAACUACACACCAGCGAAAAGGGGGCGACGGAGAGGAAGCUCGUUACCGAGGGGCAGAGGAGGCAGAGGCAGCAGGGGUAAGAGAGGAGGAGGAGGUGGUGGUGGUGGUGGCAGAGGAGGAAGGCGAAGAACACUGAACAAACUAAUCUACGGCGACCGCGAGAGCAGCAUCGAGGAGGAAGAGGACUCGGUGAGUUUACAGUCCGAGGAGCACGAGAAGAGCCUGCGCCGCUUGGAGGAUGAUGCGGAUUAUGAAGAAGAUGAAAGUGAGGAAGAGCCUUUAGGUGAUGAUGAUGAUGGCUCCGAUUAUGUGGAGGAACUUCCGGACGAGGACGACGCGAGUUACGGCAGCCUGCGGAGCCGGAGCAGCACCUGCGGGGACACACCGGGCCGCAAGAGAACUCGCGUGCAUCGUCCACGUCCCCCUGUCUUCGUGGAGGAGAAUGUCCCACCUCUGGAGCUCCCCAAGUCAUCUGACGAUGUCCUGGUCACAGCGACGCACCUCCUUACUGCAUCCUCCAUCUAUGAGGUACUGCGUAACUUCAGCACGGUGCUGCGUCUCUCUCCGUUCCGCUUCGAGGACUUCUGUGCGGCAUUGUCAGGACAGGAACAGUGCACGCUGCUAGCUGAGACGCACAUAGCGCUGAUGAAGGCCAUCCUGCGCGAGGAGGACACUUCUAACACGAGUUUCGGCCCCGCAGAUCUAAAGGACAGCGUAAAUUCAACACUCUACUUCAUGGAUGGGAUGACGUGGCCCGAGGUGGUGCGGGCGUACUGCGAGAGUGACCCCGAGUACCAGCACACUCUGAGCGUCCUUUACCAAGACGACUUCCCGUACGAGCCUCUUGAGAGCAAGCUGAAAGUCUUGCAGUUCCUGGUGGAUCAGUUCUUGGCGACAAAUGUGGCGCGGGAGGAGCUGAUGUCAGAGGGCGUGGUCACAUACGAUGAUCACUGCCGCAUGUGUCAUCACCUUGGCGACCUGCUAUGCUGCGAGACCUGCUCGGCUGUCUAUCACCUGGAGUGCGUGAAACCGCCGUUGCUCCAGGUACCUGAGGAAGAGUGGCAGUGUGAGGUGUGUGUUGCUCACCAGGUGCCGGGUGUGGGUGACAGCAUCCCAGUCAGCCAGAAGACCCGUCCCUAUAUCAGACACGAGCCAAUCGGAUUUGACCGUCACAGGAGGAAAUACUGGUUCUUGAACCGAAGAAUCAUAGUCGAGGAGGACGGCGAGCAUGAGAACAAGACCAUCUGGUAUUACAGUACCAAGGUGCAGCUGGCAGGGCUGUUAGAAGUGCUGGAUAAGUCGCACUGGGAGAAACAGCUGUGUGCCACACUGGAGGAGCUACGAGACGAGAUCCACUCACACAUGGACACAACAGAGGAGCUCACUAACAAAGCCAGAGGCAACAACAAGUCUUACCUGUCUGUAGUUAAUGAGGAGAUCCUGGAGCGUGUGAGAGCCAAGCAGGAGCAGGAAAUGGAGCAGGUGAAGAAGAAAGCUGCAGAGGAAGUGCAGAAAUCCAAAAGGGAGGAAUCGCAGGAGGAUCCGUUCUCCGUGGAUUCCGAGGUCUCUGAAGACACAUCACUAAAGGCCCAACAAGACACUGAGGAGGAAAACUGUGCAGCUGAGGCGUCCUGUGAUUCAGUGUCCACGGGGGCUUCUCCGUCCCCUGUCCCCCAGCUCCCCGUGUCUUCUGAUGGGCCAGUCGAGCCCAGUGAGUCCCAGAAAGGAAGCGGUCCGGAGGAGCCGCCCGAGACGGCAGAUGCAUCCUCAAAUUCAGGUGCCAACGUUGAGGAAGCGCCCCUGUCCCCACAAACCACUGAUGAGAAUAGUAGGGGCAGAGGAGAAGACAACCUGGAUGCUGCAGAGAAAGCUUGCAUCUUCAUUAAGGAUGAGAAGAGUGAAGGGAAGGAGAAAGGCAACAUGGAGACGCCCAUAGGAAUGCGCGCAGCCACACGCAUGGUGACACGCCUGCGCAACCCAGACAGCAAACUGAGUCAGCAGAAAAGCCAGCAGGUGGCAGCAUCGCUCCAAGAGUCUUAUCGACUGUUCAAGGAUGGAAGAGAUGUACUAAUGGCAACCCAGCAAGCAGAAGUGGCCCGUCUCAGCAUGCGCAACACCAAAGACCCGGUCAUGAAGGGGUCCUCGAGCACCUAUUUCCGCCUGGGUCAGGAAGGCAAGUAUCGUGUCUACCAGAACCAGUAUAGCACCAAUACUCUGGCUCUCAACAAGCACCAGCACCGCGAGGAUCACGACAAACGCAGACAUCUCUCGCACAAGUUCUGCCUGACGCCGGCUGGAGACUUCAAGUGGAACGGCUCGAUUUAUGGCUCUAGGGUGCUCACCACCUGCACACUCAGGCUCACUAUUAUCCAGCUGGAGAACAACAUCCCAGCACCAUUUCUGCACCCCAACUGGGAUUCCCAUAGGGCAAACUGGAGCAAGGCCGUGCAGAUAUGCAGCAAGGCGCAGGAGUUCGCUUUGGCCUUAGCUAUCCUUGAGUGUGCCAUCAAACCAGUGGCCAUGCUGCCUAUUUGGAAGGACUCACUGGGACAUACACGGCUGCACCGUGUGACAUCCCUCGAGCGGGAGGAGAAGGAGAAGGUGAGGAAGAGGGAAAAGAAGCAGGAGGAAGAGGAGACCAUGCAGCAGGCCACUUGGGUCAAAUACACCUUCCGUGUUAAACAUCAGGUUUGGAAACAGAAAGGAGAGGAGUACAGGGUGACUGGUUACGGAGGCUGGUGCUGGAUCAGUAAGACUCGCGUCCAUCGAUUUGUUCCACGACUUCCCGGGAACACUAACGCAAACUACCGGGAACAGAUAGAAGCUGGCAGGAGUGUCAAAAUUCCUGCAGACACUAACGAUGCAAAGAGUCCUGAAAUGCAUAAGAGCAACAGGGCAGAAGAAGAGGAGAAUAAAAGAAAGAUUGAUGAUAUGAAAGAAGAAGGGAUGGAUGUUGAAGCGGAAGGACCUGGUACUUUCUUCAGUGAUGUGGUCAACGUGAGUGAGGGCUUCUUGCUUCGCACAGCUUAUAAGAAAAAGGUCAAUUCCGGCAAGCUUGAUGAGCUCCUUGAGCACCGGGUCAAGCAACAGGCCAUCGAGGAACGACAGAAGAAGUCAGCUAUUAGUGCCAAUCCUAAGGUUGUGAUCCAGAGGCUCAAGUUCAAAAUGGAGCCACAUGGAGCAGUAGCAUGCAUACAGCCUGAGGUUAAAUCAGAGGUCAAGAAGGAAAUUACAGUCACGCUGGAUUCAGCCAAGGAUUCGGUCUCCGAUUCAUCAUUGGAGAGCUCUGGGAUAAAUGGGUCAACCGAUGAGUGCAUUGGUGAAGGUGGGCCCACAUCCGGUCUGUACCAGUCCAGUGCUAAAAAGACGAUGCCACUUAUCUCGGGGGACAUUCCUAAGCAAUGUGUUAAUAAUCAUAACACAAGCCAGCGUGAAAAUGCUACUGUUCUCCUGUCCACCGGUGGCAGCAGUGAGCAAAGAUUAGUUAGCACAGUGAACCAGCAAAUAAGCCCAAGUACGCCGGCACAGGUGAAUAAUGUGGCGUUGUUAGGAGAGAAUAGGGAUGGCUCCAAAGGACAUAGUCCUGUUGUCUUGCAAAUAAAUGGACAGCAUGUUAAGGAUCUAGGUACCAAGGACACUCUGACCAAUAGUGUGGUGAACAAGGUGAACGACAAGAUGAUGGAGGAUGAUAAGAAGGUUCUGUCGCUCAAGGAUCCUAUGAAGCCUUCAGUGAAUGGAAUCAGCAGCCCCAACAUAGCUGGGGGAAACCCAGAAUACCUUCCCCCACAGAAGGUGCCCCGUCUCGGUGUCACCGUGGAGGAUCUGGCACUGUCUUCUCCAACCAUUCCCAAAUCAGAGCCUGCACUGGAUAGCAAAGAACACAACAGCAUGGAAGCCGGGUUAGACGGGGAUGACAAAGUGUCCCAGAGGACAAUCGUUCCCUCCCCAGUGCUGUCAGUGGAAGAAUCAAGCCUCAGCAAUGAUUUUGUAGAGAGCAACUGCACCAGGGGUUCUCCCAAAGCAAGCACUGUAAUGACCACCACCGAGUCUCAGACGAUAAGCAGUAGUACAGUGACGCAGAACAACACCGUUUCCACCCUAACUACCACAACUAAGACUACUGUGACGCAGGAAACAAAAACCACCACGACACCUUCAUCAACAGAAACCUCGUCCUUGGGAGUCUCCAAGUCAGUAACACGAGUAAAGUCCACAAAAGAACGGGUUCAGCUCAUUCACUUUUCUCGCACCAAAAAAGUGCGAUCUGAAGCAGCACUUCCGUUGUACCGCAAGUUUUCCACCAAGAGUUGCAAGAAGAGCAUCUUCGUUCUUCCCAGUGAAGAGCUCAAGAAGAUGGCCCGCAAGGGUGGCUUUAGGGAGGUGUCAGUUUUCAACUACAAUGCCAAACCAGCCCAAGACAUCUGGCCGUACCCGUCUCCCAGACCCACAUUCAGCCUCACCUGGAGGUAUCGUCUCCAGACUGUGAACUCGUUAGCAGGAGUGAGUCUGAUGUUGCGGCUUCUUUGGGCAUGCCUUCGAUGGGACGACAUGGCUGUAAAACCGUCAUCUAAUGCUGGCGCGACACGCACAGAAACAUCUGAGACUGAGAUCACCACCACAGAGAUCAUCAAGCGCAGAGACGUUGGUCCUUAUGGUAUCCGGUCAGAAUACUGCAUACGGAAGAUCAUCUGUCCUCUAGGGGUCCCUGAAAUGCCUAGAGCUGAGACAUGCACGCCACAAAGGAAAGGCCUGCGCUCCAGUGCACUGCGGCCCAAACGCCCCGAGCCUGGCAAGCAGGAUGGCCCAAUAAUUAUUGAAACAUGGGUGCCUGAAGAAGAUCUCCACUUGUGGGAAAUCCGAGCAUUUGCAGAGCGAGCGGAAAGGGAGAAAGCCCAUGCAGCAGAGCAGGUCAGGGUUAGUGCUCGGAGGAAAGCGCUGGAACUUCAGCAACAGAAACGUCAGGAACAAAAGCAGCAAGCCGCCGCAGCCUCCACUCCCUCAGCCAGCCCUGCCACCCGCAAUACUCCCAAAGCGACCACAAGUUCCCUAAGCAGCCAGCUCACGCCUGGAGCCAAAGUGGUGCUGGCCACCAAGAUGGGCACGCCAGUCACAUUCCAGCAAAAUAAAAACUUCCAGCAAACCUUUGCAACCUGGGUCCAAGGUCAAGUGUCCAGCAGCACUGUUACCACUGUCUCCACGACGUCGGGGCAAACCUUCCAGAUCUCAGGCAGUCCCGUGUCAGUAACUGGCAAAGUCAUCCCACUUCCUGCCAACAGCAAGAUCGUCACGUUCAGUGUGCCCAACAUGCAAGGAGGUGUUCAGCAGAAGGUUGUUGGCAUCAUUCCAUCCGGUACCACGGGCAACCAGCAAACCAUCACCACCACACUGCAACCCAACACAUCUACAGUCAACAUCACAGCCAAGACACAGGGCACAGCUACACAACAGGUGACUACCACUGGAGGACAGCUAAAGCCCGGGAUGACUGUAUUACGGACGCCAACACAGCAAGGAGCCGCUGUGGGGAAAACUAUCCUCCGAACCCCGAUAGUUGUGCAACAAGGUCAGGCGGUGACUCAGAUCAUCCGGGGACAGCCUAGCAGCCCUGCCUCUACUCCCAGAGUUACCCAGGGUCCAGUUAAACUAACCCUCGCUCAGCUUACCCAGCUCAGUCAGGGGACACAGAAGCAGCAGGGAGCAGCAGUGGAAAGCCAGCAGGGGGUAACGGUGAUGGUGCAGGGUCAGGGUCAGACAACAGGUCAGCUGCAGGUCAUCCCCGCUGCCUUGACUGUGAUCCCUGCAGCUGGACAACAGCUUAUGCAGGCCGUCUUACCUAACGGCCAGGUGCAGCGUUUCCUGUUCACACCCACUCCUGCGUCAUCUUCCACACCGGGUCAAACUGCCACCAAGACCUGCACUCCCUCUCCUGCACAGCCAGUGCAGGCCGGAGCUUUUGCCCCCCGCACCCCACCAAUGACCCAUAAAGCCCAAAUGCCAAUCCAGUCUCCCACCCCUAUACAGGCCAAAACUACAAUUAACCAGAUGGCUGUGAAACAGCAGCAGGUGAGGCCCCAGGUGCAACUCCAGCAGGGGGCACAGAUCGUUACAGUGCCAGGGUUACAGCUCCAGCCGGACCAGACGGUUAAACUCCACUUGCCCGUACAGAUCCAGCAGCAGGCUGGGGCAGUAUGCCAGGAUGGGGUAAAGUCCCAGCAGGUCCAGAACGUAGUGACGUUACAGACGGCCAGCGUCCAAGGAUGCGUCCAGCAACUCCAGAGGAUCCAGCAGCUCCAUCAGCAGCAGCAGCAGAAGAAGAAACAGCAGCAGGAGGCAAAGAGGGAGCAGCAGCAGCAGGCCAUCAGCCAGAGCGACCUUAUCCAAAAACAGGUGGUGAUGAAGCAGAACGCAGCAAUUGAGCAGCUGAAACAGAAGAAGCCCAUGACGCCUGCAGAACGAGAGGAGAACCAGAGGAUGAUCGUGUGUAACCAGGUGAUGAAGUUCAUCCUGGACAAAAUCGACAAGGACGAGCGGCAGGCAGCGCGGAAGCGGAAACGAGAAGAGACGAUUGAGCAAAAACGCAGCAAGCAGAUGGCUGUCAAGCUCUCAGCCUUGCUCUUUAAACACAAAGAGCAGCUCAAAGCUGAGAUCCUGAAGAAGAGAGCGCUGCUGGACAGACAGCUGCAACUGGAGGUGCAGGAUGAGUUGAGGCGAGAUUUGGAGAAAAUCUGUCAAGAAAGAGAACGAGCCAAAGCUGCUGCCGCCGCUCCUGCUCAGGUCACAAGCACAACGUCGCCAUCAGCUUACAAGCGCAAAUAUGAGGAGGGUAACGUGGACAAAUUAAAGAAGAAAAAGAUGAUCACAACUACCUCAAGAGAAACCAACAACGACACAAAUCUGUACUGCAUCUGCAAGACGCCGUACGACGAGACCAAGUUUUAUAUAGGCUGUGAUUUGUGCACAAACUGGUACCACGGUGACUGCGUGGGCAUCACGGAAAAGGAGGCGAAGAAGAUGGACGACUACAUAUGCGCAGAGUGUAAACAGGCACAGGAGGGAACCACAGAGGAGCUCUACUGCAUCUGUAGAACUCCGUAUGAUGAAGCUCAGUUUUACAUUGGCUGCGACCGCUGUCAGAACUGGUACCACGGCCGCUGUGUGGGGAUCCUACAGAGCGAAGCGACAUACAUCGACGAGUACAUCUGCCCUCAGUGCCAGUCGACGGAGGACGCAAUGACCGUCCUCACACCCCUUACAGAGAAAGACUACGAAGGAUUACGAAGGAUCCUCCGCUCACUACAGGCCCAUAAAAUGGCGUGGCCCUUCCUGGAGCCGGUGGACCCCGAAGAUGCCCCUGAUUAUUAUGGAGUAAUAAAGGAGCCUAUGGACCUGGCGACAAUGGAGGAGCGCCUGCUGAAGCGUCACUACAGUAAGCUGACGGAGUACGUAGCAGACAUGACCAGAAUCUUCGAUAACUGUCGAUACUACAACCCCAGCGAAUCGCCCUUCUAUCAGUGUGCAGAGGUGCUCGAGACAUUCUUCGUCCAGAAGCUUAAAGCCUUUAAAGCAAGCAGAUUAUGAUGACAGGUCUUCAGAGCAGGCUGCCUGGCUCAGUGUAAAUUAGCCUAUCGUGGAGCACCACUGUGUUUUUCUUUAGCACGAAGAAAAAUACAGCAUGAACUUUUUUUGUACAGAAGAACAAAACUUUUGUUCGGAAGAUGGACUUUAAGCAGAAGCUAUGUUUGCAUCUCAGUCAGGGGAAAAGCUACUUUUUCUAUUGUGAUAUCUCAACAUUGAAAAUAAUUAUUCACCUCAUCAAGUUAGUUGACCAUUUCAUGUCACUGGAAAAAGAAAUACUUUUUUGGUCUGUUUUAUUUACUUACUUCAUGUAGGAUCUUUGCUGAAUUUUGUUUCUUUUUUUAUCUCAUAAAAGAGGUGAGGAAACAAACUUACCUCAUACAACUGUAAUAUCACUGGCUUUAUAUGGAUAUUUUGGAAAUGUUACAUUAAUAAUUGUGUUAGUCUUUUAUCUCAGUUUGUAGUCAUAUAUAUGAUAUUUUUAUGCAUCUAAAUCCUUUUGUGAAGGAGCAAUACAGAACUGUAGACUGGUUCAGCUGGAGUGGAUGUCACAGAUGAACACCAUCCUCAUGUCUCAUAACAACAGACUUCAAUCUACAGCUUCCUAAGCUACACGUCCCAUAAGCUCUUUUGUAACACUGUAAUCAGGAAGUUGGUUCUUGCUAGGUGAGCUCCUGCUACAUGGCAUUUGGGAACCAAGGACAUGAUGCACUGGAGAUCCUGCUUUUACAGAAAGCGAGAGAUCAGUGACUGAAGUGUUUUUUAGAAUAAAAUGAAAACAUAUGAUGGAGGAAGAACACCGUUUGAGAAGCAGAUGUAAAGGAUGAAGGGGUUUCCCAGCAAAGGAUGAACUGUCAUCAUCUGGAGCCGUACCAAAUUACUCACACUUUUUUUUUUUUUUUUUUUCAAUGAGAUAAAUCGGAACAUAAGCCAUUGUGCUGCGUUCCAUUGUACUCCACAGUUUUAAUUCUGGUAAAAAUGUGUGGUAAAUGCAUUCCAGUUUUUCUUCUCGAGAAGUAUUAAGAGGGUUGUGAGUCCAGAAACUCAAAAAAGCUUAAUAUUUUUGUAUAUAUUUUUAAUAAAAAAAUUAAAAAAAACUAAG
This is an RNA transcript of Clarias gariepinus (North African catfish), 9088 nucleotides long. It is a transcript of the gene named nucleosome-remodeling factor subunit BPTF-like, with no coding region annotated. The record is from RefSeq and is a predicted model, not a curated record. NCBI's taxonomy places the organism in Eukaryota, Metazoa, Chordata, Actinopteri, Siluriformes, Clariidae. The transcript is spliced from 34 exons.